GACGAACGCUGGCGGCGUGCCUAAUACAUGCAAGUAGAACGCUGAAGGAGGAGCUUGCUUCUCUGGAUGAGUUGCGAACGGGUGAGUAACGCGUAGGUAACCUGCCUGGUAGCGGGGGAUAACUAUUGGAAACGAUAGCUAAUACCGCAUAAUAGUAGAUGUCGCAUGACAUUUGCUUAAAAGGUGCAAUUGCAUCACUACAAAUGGACCCGUGUUGUAUUAGCUAGUUGGUGGGGUAACGGCACACCAAGGCAACGAUACAUAGCCGACCGGAGAGGGUGAUCGGCCACACUGAGACUGAGACACGGCCCAGACUCCUACGGGAGGCAGCAGUAGGGAAUCUUCGGCAAUGGACGGAAGUCUGACCGAGCAACGCCGCGUGAGUGAAGAAGGUUGUCGGAUCGUAAAGCUCUGUUGUAAGAGAAGAACGAGUGUGAGAGUGGAAAGUUCACACUGUGACGGUAUCUUACCAGAAAGGGACGGCUAACUACGUG
RNAcentral lists this ribosomal RNA (494 nucleotides) under uncultured bacterium. Its description in RNAcentral is "partial 16S ribosomal RNA". It matches the Rfam family "Bacterial small subunit ribosomal RNA", at positions 28 to 507 of the family's 1533-position model. The record is from RNAcentral.